AUUGAACGCUGGCGGAAUGCUUUACACAUGCAAGUCGAACGGCAGCGCGGGUGCUUGCACCUGGCGGCGAGUGGCGAACGGGUGAGUAAUACAUCGGAACGUGCCCAGUAAUGGGGGAUAACUAACCGAAAGGUUGGCUAAUACCGCAUACGCCCUGAGGGGGAAAGCGGGGGAUCGAAAGACCUCGCGUUAUUGGAGCGGCCGAUGUCUGAUUAGCUAGUUGGUAGGGUAAAGGCCUACCAAGGCGACGAUCAGUAGCUGGUCUGAGAGGAUGAUUAGCCAGACUGGGACUGAGACACGGCCCAGCCUCCUACGGAAGGCAGCAGUGGGGGAUUUUGGACAAUGGGGGAAACCCUGAUCCAGCCAUUCCGCGUGAGUGAAGAAGGCCUUCGGGUCGUAAAGCUCUUUCGGCAGGAACGAAACGCUCUGGACUAAUACUCCGGGGUAAUGACGGUACCUGAAGAAGAAGCACCGGCUAACUACGUGCCAGCCGCCGCAGUAA
RNAcentral lists this ribosomal RNA (502 nucleotides) under uncultured bacterium. RNAcentral's name for it is "partial 16S ribosomal RNA". It matches the Rfam family "Bacterial small subunit ribosomal RNA", at positions 30 to 523 of the family's 1533-position model. The record is from RNAcentral.